CCUUCCCUUCCCUUCCCUUCCCCCUGCACGGACCAAGGCUGAGCAGUGCUGUCCAUUCACAUUCACUUUCCCUCUUACAGCUCCCUGUGGGCACACAGCCCAGUUCCCAGUCUCGCCCUUAAUUAAAAUAUUUCAAAUUGGAAAGGUUACAUAUGCCAUAUCAAAAUAAUUCUGUGUAAGAAGAAAGAUGUGAUGUUAAAGGCACAUUCUGAAAGGCUAAAGUGGUUAUCAGCUGCUUAUUUUUGCUUCUUUUCCUUAUCUGGCAUCUCUUUUCCAGCUAAAGAAGACCUGGAAGAUUUUGUAACAAGGUUAAAGGGCAUUUUUAGUUCAUGUUUGAAAAUGUUUUAACUGGAAGGCUGUAAGCAGGUAAACUCACAGGCACCAGCAAAGCAUCAGUGAUAAUCUCUUACCAACGAAGUUUUUCAUCUGACACAGUGUUUUAUCUUUUCGCUUGUGUCAGACAGAACUAAUUGAACGCAAAGCCAGUUGUAAAGAUACUGAGCAAAACUGUUUGUUACAAAGUCAUUCCUAUUCCUUCAGCUGUAGGCAGAGAAGCUUCACAUCCACACAUCCACACCACGUGUGGCACAGGAAGCCCACUCUUGGGAAGGUGAGACCGAGGGGAGAGAAUUGAAGAGAGGGAGAGGAGAAAAGAAAAAGAGAAGAAGAAAAGAGAAGAGGAAAAUAGAGGAGAAGAACACAACUCCCAGCCAAAUGAGAACUGAUGGGAUGAGAUAUGGGAUGGCAAGAAGGUGGCCUCAGUCACCUUCUGCUAAAAUCUAUGUAGGUCUUGGACCUGCCCUGUUCACCCCCACUGCCUGCUCCUCAGCCUUGGGCCACCAGCCUCAGCAACCCUGCCCAGCUGCCUAAUGCUGCCCUUCCCCAGUGGGACCAGGAAGGAGUAUUUGGCAAAGGUGUCCUCUGAAAGUCAAGCCAACAUUGUCCCAGUGGAACCCUCCAACUGUGCCCGGGAGGUCAACACUCACCCUCUGCUGAGUUCAGAUGUUCCAAAAAGCUCACGGGGGAAAAAAGUCACCCCUGAUGCUCCAAGGAAGAGAUUACUUGGAGGUUAGGGGAUUAACCCUAAUGCUAACCCUCAGAAAUAAAUUUUCUCUAUCUCAA
Molecule: non-coding RNA, 1122 nt
Organism: Taeniopygia guttata (zebra finch)
Lineage: Eukaryota; Metazoa; Chordata; Aves; Passeriformes; Estrildidae
Source: RefSeq, a predicted model, not a curated record